RNAcentral lists this long non-coding RNA (337 nucleotides) under Elaeis guineensis (African oil palm). Its description in RNAcentral is "long non-coding RNA (EGUI_LNC054120)". Lineage: Eukaryota; Viridiplantae; Streptophyta; Magnoliopsida; Arecales; Arecaceae. The record is from RNAcentral.
UACAUCUAAUGUAUGUAUUAAAUAAUAGAUCAGAUCUAUUACCUUGCAAGUUAGAUGUUCUAACCUUGCUGAUCUGGGCUUGAGGAUGAUGUUGCAAACCACACAGAUGUCCGAUCUCUAGGAGUCAUCCACACGAGUCCACAAAUCUCGAUCAGAAGUCCUGCUUCAAAAAAUUAGCACAGUAUGUUAGUAUUGCGCUGAUUCUUCUUCGAUGGUUGAUCAGGUGCCUCUUUCUUCUUGAUUUGGGCUCUUCCAAAGAUGAAAAGUAGGAGGAGGAGUUUUAGAUCUGAGAUGCUCUCUGAAAACUCAAGAUGGAGGAAGGAAAGAGAUGAAACUA